RNAcentral lists this ribosomal RNA (533 nucleotides) under uncultured bacterium. Its description in RNAcentral is "bacterial SSU rRNA". It matches the Rfam family "Bacterial small subunit ribosomal RNA", at positions 777 to 1304 of the family's 1533-position model. The record is from RNAcentral.
AAUAGAUACCCCGGUAGUCCACGCCGUAAACGAUGAGUGCUAAGUGUUAGAGGGGUUUCCGCCCUUUAGUGCUGCAGCUAACGCAUUAAGCACUCCGCCUGGGGAGUACGGCCGCAAGGCUGAAACUCAAAGGAAUUGACGGGGGCCCGCACAAGCGGUGGAGCAUGUGGUUUAAUUCGAAGCAACGCGAAGAACCUUACCAGGUCUUGACAUCCUCUGACAACCCUAGAGAUAGGGCUUUCCCCUUCGGGGGACAGAGUGACAGGUGGUGCAUGGUUGUCGUCAGCUCGUGUCGUGAGAUGUUGGGUUAAGUCCCGCAACGAGCGCAACCCUUGAUCUUAGUUGCCAGCAUUCAGUUGGGCACUCUAAGGGUGACUGCCGGUGACAAACCGGAGGAAGGUGGGGAUGGACGUCGAAAUCAUCAUGCCCCUUAUGACCUGGGCUACACACGUGCUACAAUGGAUGGUACAAAGGGCUGCAAACCUGCGAAGGUAAGCGAAUCCCAUAAAGCCAUUCUCAGUUCGGAUUGCAGG